This is a long non-coding RNA of Homo sapiens (human), 649 nucleotides long. Lineage: Eukaryota; Metazoa; Chordata; Mammalia; Primates; Hominidae. The record is from Ensembl.
UAUCUCUAAUUUGGAGACAAAGAAUUGGAAACUUAGUGCUGGCUUCUAUCAUUGUGGUAAGAGUGAAAAUAAUGGAUACAAAUCAGAUACCUGAGGAUCUUUAGAGAAGUAAUUGUUGAGAUGUGUUGACAGAUGGGAUAGUUUGACAGAGGAUUUUCUUACCCCCCCUUACCCCAGCUGGCCUUGCUUCUACUAAACUUUCAGGUUUCAGCUUAAAGGUCUUCUGGGAAGCUCUCCCUGACCUUCAGGCCAGAUCAGGUUCCCUGUUACAAGCUAUCAGAGAGAUCUUUCUUAGAACUUGAGAGAUAUUUAUGCAUUCAUGUCCUCCAAACUAUGCCUGGCAUUCUGUAGGUGCUCAAUAAAUAUUCAUGGAGUAAAAACAGGAAUAUAUGAAAACUGCUUAACUGUCAUUGAAUAGAUAAUGAUUCCAAUAGAGACUGGUACCUGUUUAUCUAUUACACCUUUACAACUUUAAAAGGAAAAUAACUAUACUUCUGUACUUGCAUGUGUGAAAUCCCUAUCUGCUCUUGAGCUAAGAUUCUUUCUUAUUCUAACUCUACUUUCUCCUUAAGCAAUCUUGUCCAUACUAACAUUUUUUUAUUAUCACCGUUACUCAGAUGAUUCUCAAAUUAAAAUUUUCCACCCAGAG